Long non-coding RNA from Aedes albopictus (Asian tiger mosquito), 612 nucleotides. RefSeq lists it as uncharacterized. The transcript has 2 exons. Lineage: Eukaryota; Metazoa; Arthropoda; Insecta; Diptera; Culicidae. The record is from RefSeq and is a predicted model, not a curated record.
AAUGCAUAUUUCAGGCCGAACAUUUCAAAUAGUCCUAACUGACAUUUUUCAACAAUUUGAGUUAUUAGUGUAUUCUAGUAGAAUUACAUGUAAUCUAACGGAAUAAAUUGCAAAAAAAUAUAAUUAUUUAUUUUUGCUAUAAAAUUAUAGGUAAAAUCAUAUCGACCAAUCUGCAUUUUCUAUAAUAUCGCCCAACUCUGUUGGUUUGGACGUUUUGCAGCUUGACAGUCCAAUCUGACAAAAUGUCAAAACAAUCAGAAAACGCAGAUUGGACGUUUGGUAAAACAGGGAAAAUAAGUUGAUUUUUCAGUAUUUUUGUAAGUUUUAAAAUAAAACCGAGUUAAUGCAGGUUUCUUUGACCAAUCCGACAUUGUGCUGUUAUUGUUUGGUUUACAUGACAUCCGGGGAACAGAUUGUUCAACAACGAACAACCAUCGGGGGAUCUCAUCUGUGAUGAAUGCGGAUAGGGAUAUGUCCUAGAUAUACCAACGGUAUCGCAGGAUGCACUACGCCACAGUCAAGUUAUGUCACGAUUCCGGUGCUUAUUCUGAUGUGGAACGCAGACAAACGGCACCAAUGCAACCACUGAGCAGCAAUCGGUCGAAGCUUCAA